AUUGAACGCUGGCGGCAGGCCUAACACAUGCAAGUCGAACGGUAGCACAGAGAGCUUGCUCUCGGGUGACGAGUGGCGGACGGGUGAGUAACGUCUGGGAAACUGCCCGAUGGAGGGGGAUAACUACUGGAAACGGUAGCUAAUACCGCAUAACGUCGCAAGACCAAAGUGGGGGACCUUCGGGCCUCACACCAUCGGAUGUGCCCAGAUGGGAUUAGCUAGUAGGUGAGGUAAUGGCUCACCUAGGAGACGAUCCCUAGCUGGUCUGAGAGGAUGACCAGCCACACUGGAACUGAGACACGGUCCAGACUCCUCCGGGAGGCAGCAGUGGGGAAUAUUGCACAAUGGGCGCAAGCCUGAUGCAGCCAUGCCGCGUGUAUGAAGAAGGCCUUCGGGUUGUAAAGUACUUUCAGCGGGGAGGAAGGCGGUGAAGUUAAUAACUUCACCGAUUGACGUUACCCGCAGAAGAAGCUCCGGCUAACUCCGUGCCAGCAGCCGCGGUAA
Molecule: ribosomal RNA, 504 nt
Filed under: uncultured bacterium
Lineage: Bacteria
Description: partial 16S ribosomal RNA
Rfam family: Bacterial small subunit ribosomal RNA
Source: RNAcentral